RNAcentral lists this ribosomal RNA (431 nucleotides) under uncultured Pedomicrobium sp. Its description in RNAcentral is "bacterial SSU rRNA". It matches the Rfam family "Bacterial small subunit ribosomal RNA", at positions 29 to 507 of the family's 1533-position model. The record is from RNAcentral. Lineage: Bacteria; Pseudomonadati; Pseudomonadota; Alphaproteobacteria; Hyphomicrobiales; Hyphomicrobiaceae.
AACGAACGCUGGCGGCAGGCCUAACACAUGCAAGUCGAACGCCCCGCAAGGGGAGUGGCAGACGGGUGAGUAACGCGUGGGAACCUACCCUACGGUCGGGACUAGCCCAGGGAAACUUGGGGUAAUACCGGAUACGCCCUAACGGGGAAAGAUUUAUCGCCGUUGGAUGGGCCCGCGUCGGAUUAGCUAGUUGGUGAGGUAACGGCUCACCAAGGCGACGAUCCGUAGCUGGUCUGAGAGGAUGAUCAGCCACACUGGGACUGAGACACGGCCCAGACUCCUACGGGAGGCAGCAGUGGGGAAUAUUGGACAAUGGGCGCAAGCCUGAUCCAGCUAUGCCGCGUGAGUGACGAAGGUCUUCGGAUUGUAAAGCUCUUUUGGCGGGGAAGAUAAUGACGGUACCCGCAGAAUAAGCUCCGGCUAACUUCGUG